This 425-nucleotide long non-coding RNA is filed under the name Gossypium raimondii (Peruvian cotton). Its description in RNAcentral is "long non-coding RNA (GRAI_LNC009905)". The record is from RNAcentral. Lineage: Eukaryota; Viridiplantae; Streptophyta; Magnoliopsida; Malvales; Malvaceae.
CAUAACAGUGAUAUACUACAUAACAUACUAACAGACAUAUUCAUAACACACAUAACAGACAUACUAACAAGCAUACAUAAACAGUAAUAUGACAGACAUACAUAACAAACAUAAUAACAACAUACAUAACAGUAGUAUAUAUAACAUACUUUGCUAAAGAGAUAUACAUAACAGAUGUUAUAGGCCAUUUUUGCCCGGGCCCAAACCAAAAGCAACCCAAUUUCCAAAAUAAUUAAACAGUCCAAAAAAUAAAUUACAAGCCAAAAAAUAAAAAAACCUAGUGGCCCAAGUGGCCCACAACCUAAAUUCAAUUUUCAGUAAAAUAAAAAAACCUAGCCCUAACACCUCUCUCGGCGUGCACGAUGCCCGAUGACGACUCCUUCACUGAGGUUGCACCGAAAUGGCAAUGGUUUUUGCCCGUUGAC